RNAcentral lists this transfer RNA (76 nucleotides) under Anaerosinus gibii. RNAcentral describes it as "Selenomonadaceae bacterium ICN-92133 tRNA-Thr". It matches the Rfam family "tRNA". Rfam says of the family: Transfer RNA (tRNA) molecules are approximately 80 nucleotides in length. Their secondary structure includes four short double-helical elements and three loops (D, anti-codon, and T loops). Lineage: Bacteria; Bacillati; Bacillota; Negativicutes; Selenomonadales; Sporomusaceae. The record is from RNAcentral.
GCUGGUGUAGCUCAAUUGGUAGAGCAGCUGACUUGUAAUCAGCAGGUUGGGGGUUCAAGUCCUCUUGCCAGCUCCA